GACGAACGCUGGCGGCGUGCUUAACACAUGCAAGUCGAACGGAAAGGCCCUGCUUUUGUGGGGUGCUCGAGUGGCGAACGGGUGAGUAACACGUGAGUAACCUGCCCUUGACUUUGGGAUAACUUCAGGAAACUGGGGCUAAUACCGGAUAGGAGCUCCUGCUGCAUGGUGGGGGUUGGAAAGUUUCGGCGGUUGGGGAUGGACUCGCGGCUUAUCAGCUUGUUGGUGGGGUAGUGGCUUACCAAGGCUGUGACGGGUAGCCGGCCUGAGAGGGUGACCGGCCACAAUGGGACUGAGAUACGGCGCAGACGCCAACGGGAGGCAGCAGGGGGGAAUAUUGCACAAUGGGCGGACGCCUGAUGCAGCAACGCCGCGUGCGGGAUGACGGCCUUCGGGUUGUAAACCGCUUUCGCCUGUGACGAAGCGUGAGUGACGGUAAUGGGUAAAGAAGCACCGGCUAACUACGUG
This 468-nucleotide ribosomal RNA is filed under the name uncultured bacterium. RNAcentral's name for it is "partial 16S ribosomal RNA". It matches the Rfam family "Bacterial small subunit ribosomal RNA", at positions 28 to 507 of the family's 1533-position model. The record is from RNAcentral.